RNAcentral lists this long non-coding RNA (283 nucleotides) under Nicotiana benthamiana. RNAcentral's name for it is "long non-coding RNA (NBEN_LNC036023)". The record is from RNAcentral. Lineage: Eukaryota; Viridiplantae; Streptophyta; Magnoliopsida; Solanales; Solanaceae.
AGUAGUAUAUAUUCUAUAUAAGUAGUGUAUAAUGUGUUGUAGUUAGUAAUUAGUAUAAAUUGUAUAUAAGUAGUAUAUAUUGAUAAAAGAAUGUUGUCAUUAGUAUAUUGUGUUGUAUGUUAUAUAUUAUAUGUUAUAUAAAUAUUCAAGGAUUGAUAUCGAAGUAAAGACAAAGAAAUAUUGAGAGAAAAAAUAUUCAAGGAUAUGAUAAAGAGCAUAUUUGUUGACCAAAAUGGCAUAUAUUUCUUAGUCUUCCUUCCUCCAAUGGAAUGAGCACAACAUG